UACGAAGGGGGCUAGCGUUGUUCGGAAUUACUGGGCGUAAAGCGCACGUAGGCGGAUUCUUAAGUCUGGGGUGAAAGCCCGGAGCUCAACUCCGGAACUGCCUUGGAUACUGGGAGUCUCGAGGAUGGAAGAGGUCAGUGGAAUGCCGAGUGUAGAGGUGAAAUUCGUAGAUAUUCGGCGGAACACCAGUGGCGAAGGCGACUGGCUGGUCCAUUUCUGACGCUGAGGUGAGAAAGUGUGGGGAGCAAACAGG
RNAcentral lists this ribosomal RNA (253 nucleotides) under uncultured bacterium. Its description in RNAcentral is "partial 16S ribosomal RNA". It matches the Rfam family "Bacterial small subunit ribosomal RNA", at positions 524 to 776 of the family's 1533-position model. The record is from RNAcentral.